This is a long non-coding RNA of Stomoxys calcitrans (stable fly), 508 nucleotides long. RefSeq lists it as uncharacterized. The transcript is spliced from 2 exons. NCBI's taxonomy places the organism in Eukaryota, Metazoa, Arthropoda, Insecta, Diptera, Muscidae. The record is from RefSeq and is a predicted model, not a curated record.
UUACAAGUAUACCCCAUCCUAUGGUGGAAGGGAUUACCGAUUACAUGGUAUUACCGUUACAAAUUGGUUGUGUUUGGUAUAACAGUUAUCUGGUUGGAAGCAUUUCGCAUUGGAGUCAAAUGGUCUUUAAACUGCUACUGAAAAUGUACUCAAAAACUUUUAAUGGCAUGGUCCGAGAUAAUCUUCACAACAUUUUUCAUCAAAUUGUCUAUUGAGCCCAAAAAAUAGCAAAUAUGUAUGUGUAUACUUUUUUUUGACAUAAUUGUCAGGGAUACUAGACAUUCCAGGAACUCACACCCGUUUGUAAUUGAUUGGCAAGCGGACCUCACAAUGCAUUAUAGGGUGAAUUCUUAUUUCGCCAGAACUGUUCGUAUGUGGAAUCGACUACCGGCUAAUGUUGUUUGACAACUUUGAAAUCCAAAGAUUUAAGACAAAUUUCAAUAAACCCUACAUCCGGAAGCGGCGGUGCCCCAAAUACAUGGUCCCACAUUUGGAUAUUCGUAUUCUA